GAACGCUAGCUACAGGCUUAACACAUGCAAGUCGAGGGGAAACGAUAUUGGAAGCUUGCUUCUGAUAGGCGUCGACCGGCGCACGGGUGAGUAACGCGUAUCCAACCUGCCCAUCACUUGGGGAUAACCUUGCGAAAGUAAGACUAAUACCCAAUGAUAUCUCUAGAAGACAUCUGAAAGAGAUUAAAGAUUUAUCGGUGAUGGAUGGGGAUGCGUCUGAUUAGCUUGUUGGCGGGGUAACGGCCCACCAAGGCGACGAUCAGUAGGGGUUCUGAGAGGAAGGUCCCCCACAUUGGAACUGAGACACGGUCCAAACUCCUACGGGAGGCAGCAGUGAGGAAUAUUGGUCAAUGGACGAGAGUCUGAACCAGCCAAGUAGCGUGCAGGAUGACGGCCCUAUGGGUUGUAAACUGCUUUUAUAAGGGAAUAAAGUGAGUCUCGUGAGGCUUUUGCAUGUACCUUAUGAAUAAGGACCGGCUAAUUCCGUG
This 488-nucleotide ribosomal RNA is filed under the name uncultured bacterium. RNAcentral's name for it is "bacterial SSU rRNA". It matches the Rfam family "Bacterial small subunit ribosomal RNA", at positions 31 to 507 of the family's 1533-position model. The record is from RNAcentral.